GUGAGGAAUUUUCCGCAAUGGGCGAAAGCCUGACGGAGCAAUGCCGCGUGAAGGAUUAAGGCCUAUGGGUAGUAAACUUCUUUUCUUAGAGAAGAAUAUUGACGGUAUCUGAGGAAUAAGCAUCGGCUAACUCUGUGCCAGCAGCCGCGGUAAGACAGAGGAUGCAAGCGUUAUCCGGAAUGAUUGGGCGUAAAGCGUCUGUAGGUGGCUUCAAAAGUCUCCUGUCAAAGAGCAGUGCUUAACCCUGGGCCGGCAGGAGAAACUCUGAGGCUAGAGUUUGGUAGGAGCAGAGGGAAUUCCCGGUGGAGCAGUGAAAUGCGUAGAGAUCGAGAGGAACACCAAAGGCGCAAGCACUCUGCUGGGCCACAACUGACACUGAGAGACGAAAGCGAGGGGAGCAAAAGGGAUUAGAUACCCCAGUAGUCC
RNAcentral lists this ribosomal RNA (426 nucleotides) under uncultured bacterium. Its description in RNAcentral is "partial 16S ribosomal RNA". It matches the Rfam family "Bacterial small subunit ribosomal RNA", at positions 354 to 796 of the family's 1533-position model. The record is from RNAcentral.